Long non-coding RNA from Mustela erminea (ermine), 1759 nucleotides. RefSeq lists it as uncharacterized. The transcript has 3 exons. The record is from RefSeq and is a predicted model, not a curated record. NCBI's taxonomy places the organism in Eukaryota, Metazoa, Chordata, Mammalia, Carnivora, Mustelidae.
AAAAAAAAAAAAAAAGUUCUAACAUGUGAGUCAAGAUGAGCUCUCUUUGAGUUAUCUGUUGGGGAAAGAUCCUCAACAUCAGGAAAUUGACAGAUGUUUAAUCACUUAUGCUGUGUACCUUAUAAAUAUGAUAUGAACAGAACAGAGACAUUUCAGCCCCAUAGUUGUUUUCUUCCGAGUUGUUAUUCAUUUCAGCUGGAAUAGGCUAGACCGUUCUGUGGUAACAAACUACCCCAAAGUCUUGGCAGUUUACAAAAACCAAGAUUUAUUUUUCAAUUAUGCAACACGCUCAGUGAGUAUCAGCAGGUGGUUCUACUCUAUGUCAUUAGCUAGCGGGACCCGCACUGAUGGAGGAGUCUCCUUUAAUACUGGCGUCCAUUAUGACACAGGCGAAGACAAAGGUAGACCUCAGUCAUAGAACAAACGAUGACUUAAGCUUCUGUCUGUCUAUCAGACACAUCACUUCCAUUCCUAUGGCCAUUUCGGUGGUAGAGCAAGUCAAUCCAAAUCUGACUUUAGUGCCUUGGAGAAGAUCUCUUUUAAAAUCAGCCUGGAAACAGUGUUUAUACAGAUCAGCCUCACUAGUUCUAAAGCUGGGGUCUCAUCAUUGGGAUGUGUUGGCUGACCUUAGGAGCAUAUUUCAACCAGAGGCUUCUUAGGAAGUUGGCUUAGCAGAGCUUGAACGGAUGACCCAUUUGGGGACUCCCACCACCCACAGAACUGUAGAUUUUCCUGCUUGAGGUUUUCACACUUAGGCAAGAAAGGAGUACACCCUUCCUAAAAGGACCGGCUCUCCCUCCUGCUCUGUCAGCCACUGGUUUCCUCCAGCAAGUUACUAAAACUAGGUACGAGGAGCUGAGGUGUCACUACACAGCACGUCCACAGAAUCUGUGCUUAUGACAGUGCCCCAGUAAUUCCUGAUCCUUGCCUCACUCCCUGACGGAGACCCAGCUUUUAUUUCAGCAACAAUAAUCAACAAUAAUGGGUUGUCCUGGACCCCUGACUUCACCUGAAGAUGUCUGUGUGUUGGAUCUGCCUCCUAUAUGGGGCAGUUGGUUCAAGACUUAGAGAAAUGUCUACAGACACUCUCAUUCCAGAAUGAUGGGACCCAACCAGGGGAAAUGGCCAGAAGCAACCACAGCUUCAGGCUUGGCAAAGUGGGCUAAAAUGUGAAGGUAAGUGUUUGAGACUCCCGUUUCCUGGGACCAUGUCUCUGCCUCAUCCUACAAGUCUCGGCCUCCUUUUACCACUUUGGCCCUAACACUGUGAAGCCUUCUGCCCACUGGCAGUGCUUCCCCUGCCAUAUGCUGAUUACUAAUGCCAGUAAAAUACCUACGUACUUUGGCAGUAACGUAUGCAGAUACGUAUGUUUCUAAUUACAGGGAAAUUGUUAGAACAUGACUUGGCUUCAAGAUACCCAGUUAUUAAUCCAGGAAGAAAUAAUGCUUUGUUUCCUAACAGAAGAAAAUAAGAACUUCAUUUUAAUCAUUUUUCCCCCUUUCUCUUCUCUUUUUGUUUGUUUGAUACACAUACACGCGCAAUGUCCUACGCUGGCAAUACGAGACGUUCUCGCACACAGUGUGGCCAUUUCUUCUCAGACAUCGGACAUACUACAUCUGUUACCUGCUUAACCAUCCAUCCACUCCUUUGCUACAGCUGCAUAUCCAGGAUUCUGGGUCCUGUCAUUGUUCUUUAUGGAUACCAUGUAUGGUUUUCAAGAAUAAGUGUAAACUCAUUAAAGUUCUUAUUUUACAAUAUG